RNAcentral lists this ribosomal RNA (601 nucleotides) under uncultured bacterium. RNAcentral's name for it is "bacterial SSU rRNA". It matches the Rfam family "Bacterial small subunit ribosomal RNA", at positions 725 to 1330 of the family's 1533-position model. The record is from RNAcentral.
CUUGCUGGGGACUUAUCGACGCUCAUGCUCGAAAGUGCGGGUAGCAAACAGGAUUAGAUACCCUGGUAGUCCGCACCGUAAACGAUGCAUACUGGGUGUCCGCGGUUCGCCGCGGGUACCGAAGCCAACGCGUUAAGUAUGCCGCCUGGGGAGUACGUACGCAAGUAUGAAACUCAAAGGAAUUGACGGGGGCCCGCACAAGCGGUGGAGCAUGUGGUUUAAUUCGAAGCAACGCGCAGAACCUUACCAGGGUUUGACAUGGGAACGCCGCGGCGAGAGAUCGCCGUUUGUAGCAAUACACGUUCCGCACAGGUGCUGCAUGACUGUCGUCAGCUCGUGUCGUGAGAUGUUGGGUUAAGUCCCGCAACGAGCGCAACCCACGUUUCCAGUUGCCACCCGCGAGGGGGCCCUCUGGAGAGACUGCCGGGGACAACCCGGAGGAAGGUGUGGAUGACGUCAAGUCCUCAUGGCCCUUACAUCCUGGGCUACACACGUGGUACAAUGGACGGUACAAUGGGUCGCAACGCCGCGAGGCGGAGCCAAUCCUGAAAGCCGUCCUCAGUUCGGAUCGGAGUCUGCAACUCGACUCCGUGAAGCUGGA